UCCCAAGUACGACAUGAAGACCGCUAUUUUCGCUUUUGCACUCUUUUUCGUGGUUCUGGCACACGCUCUGCCAGUUAAGGAUGAGCAGCUCAACGACCAGCGGAGUGAGCUGACUGAGACUGAACACGUUUUACGACGAGAUGCGACAGAAGGGAAUUUAAUGUUAAAAAUUUCACGGACAGAGAGGGCUGCUGAUCCCAACCGUGGUCACCAUGGACACCAUGGCCAUCAUGGCCAUCACGGACACCAUGGCCAUCAUGGUCACCAUGGACACCAUGGCCAUCAUGGACACCACGGACACCAUGGCCAUCAUGGACACCACGGACACCAUGGUCACCACGGACACCAUCAUGGAUGAAAAUUAUCCUUAUAGUAUUAUCCUUCAAGUUCCUCCUGUAUAAUAGUUUGUUUUGUAAGCAAUCAAUAAAAUGUUGAAUAUAAUUAAAACCAGGCUUCAUCCUCGUUGUCAAAUUAAAGAGAAAUUCGUCUUCUUUAUUUCUCGACCAGUUUCGACGUCACCAAGUACGUCCUAAUCAUGAGUUACAAUUACAAUCAAAUAACAAACAAUACAAUAAUGUCACAUCUAAAAUCAUAUAAAUUCCAUACAAUUUUUAAAAAAACACCCACCUAUUCAUGAGGCACUUGAGGCAAGCUCCAAAGACCAAAUGUAACAAAUUCUAAGCCACCCCUUUGUUAAAUAACACGCACAUCUCACAGGUGGUAGGGAACCUUUUUGUUCCGUGAGCUAAAUUUUCCCCUUUCAGCGCGUAAAUUUUCUUUUUGGAGGCGGUUGCAAUGGAAUGCUCAGAAAACGUUAUUAGUAACCCAAGCCACCUGCUUUGUGAUGUGUGGAAAAAUAUUUUACGCGCUGAAAGGGGAAAAUUUAGCUCACGGAACAAAAAGGUUCCCUACCACCUGUGAGAUGUGCGUGUUAUUUAACAAAGGGGUGGCUUAGAAUUUGUUACAUUUGGUCUUUGGAGCUUGCCUCAAGUGCCUCAUGAAUAGGUGGGUGUUUUUUUAAAAAUUGUAUGGAAUUUAUAUGAUUUUAGAUGUGACAUUAUUGUAUUGUUUGUUAUUUGAUUGUAAUUGUAACUCAUGAUUAGGACGUACUUGGUGACGUCGAAACUGGUCGAGAAAUAAAGAAGACGAAUUUCUCUUUAAUUUGACAACGAG
This is a long non-coding RNA of Cloeon dipterum, 1173 nucleotides long. RefSeq lists it as uncharacterized. The transcript is spliced from 2 exons. Lineage: Eukaryota; Metazoa; Arthropoda; Insecta; Ephemeroptera; Baetidae. The record is from RefSeq and is a predicted model, not a curated record.